CUUCUUGGAGUUCUUCGUUUCUCCUUCCCGAACACAAACCGAGUGAGAGAGAUGGAACCAAGAAGACUCAGGAGACCCAUAUUCCAGUCAAACCCGACGCCGCUUGUAACCUGUUUUAACCAAAACAGCACCACCGUGACCCAUGCCGCACCAUUCCAGCAACCUGUAGCUCAGCAAAAGAAACCCGUGACCCAGCCGAGCUCGACUCGUGGACGUGUGCCGGAGAUGAUGAAUUGAGACAGCACAAAAGGACUAUGACUGUGCAGGCACAGACACUGACGAGUAUCAGGAUUAUCAGGAGCCUUAUGAUGAUCCUGGUUUCAUAGAUGAGACUGUCUAAAGUCUCCUUUUUAUGAUAGACUUGCUGAACAGUUUAUCUUCCAUGUCGUUACUAGGUUUUAUUUUAUGUACUUUCUAGACAUCUUAUGCUUUAUGUUAUGGUUUGUAAUAUGACUACUAUUACAUAGGACGUGAGCCGUGGUGGCCCUUAUGUUAUUGCUUUUGUGUGUAUUUAUUUGUAAGACCUUUUAUUAUUAUUUUAAUGUAAGUUGAGGUAUUUCAAUUAAA
This is a long non-coding RNA of Alnus glutinosa, 567 nucleotides long. RefSeq lists it as uncharacterized. The transcript has 3 exons. The record is from RefSeq and is a predicted model, not a curated record. Lineage: Eukaryota; Viridiplantae; Streptophyta; Magnoliopsida; Fagales; Betulaceae.